This 205-nucleotide unclassified non-coding RNA is filed under the name Hevea brasiliensis (rubber tree). Lineage: Eukaryota; Viridiplantae; Streptophyta; Magnoliopsida; Malpighiales; Euphorbiaceae. The record is from RNAcentral.
CUUCAAAAACAGCAUCUGUAUCAUUGGCCUCCCUUCCUUUAUCACCCUGAACAAGGUUUUCCCAUAAUCUUUGCAGAGCGAAUUGCCACAACAAAUCAACGUGAGGAUCUGUUGGGGGCAACGCAUGAGAUCCAACCUUGUAAUACACUGAUACAUUGGGCACAAAUAACGCCUUCUUGAAGUAGACACCAUGACUAGCACAUGU